GACGAACGCUGGCGGCGUGCUUAACACAUGCAAGUCGAACGGAAAGGCCCUGCUUUUGUGGGGUGCUCGAGUGGCGAACGGGUGAGUAACACGUGAGUAACCUGCCCUUGACUUUGGGAUAACUUCAGGAAACUGGGGCUCAUACCGGAUAGGAGCUCCUGCUGCAUGGUGGGGGUUGGAAAGUUUCGGCGGUUGGGGAUGGACUCGCGGCUUAUCAGCUUGUUGGUGGGGUAGUGGCUUACCAAGGCUUUGACGGGUAGCCGGCCUGAGAGGGUGACCGGCCACAUUGGGACUGAGAUACGGCCCAGACUCCUACGGGAGGCAGCAGUGGGGAAUAUUGCACAAUGGGCGGAAGCCUGAUGCAGCAACGCCGCGUGCGGGAUGACGGCCUUCGGGUGGUAAACCGCUUUCGCCUGUGACGAAGCGUGAGUGACGGUAAUGGGUAAAGAAGCACCGGCUAACUACGUG
Molecule: ribosomal RNA, 468 nt
Filed under: uncultured bacterium
Lineage: Bacteria
Description: partial 16S ribosomal RNA
Rfam family: Bacterial small subunit ribosomal RNA
Source: RNAcentral